GAGUUUGAUCAUGGCUCAGAGUGAACGCUGGCGGCAGGCCUAACACAUGCAAGUCGAACGGCAGCACAGUCCCGCAAGGGAUGGGUGGCGAGUGGCGGACGGGUGAGGAAUACAUCGGAAUCUACCUUGUCGUGGGGGAUAACGUAGGGAAACUUACGCUAAUACCGCAUACGCACCACGGUGGAAAGCGGCGGACCGCAAGGCGUCGCGCGAUUGGAUGAGCCGAUGUCCGAUUAGCUAGUUGGCGGGGUAAAGGCCCACCAAGGCGACGAUCGGUAGCUGGUCUGAGAGGAUGAUCAGCCACACUGGAACUGAGACACGGUCCAGACUCCUACGGGAGGCAGCAGUGGGGAAUAUUGGACAAUGGGCGCAAGCCUGAUCCAGCCAUGCCGCGUGUGUGAAGAAGGCCUUCGGGUUGUAAAGCACUUUUGUCCGGAAAGAAAAGCAUUCGGUUAAUACCCGGGUGUUCUGACGGUACCGGAAGAAUAAGCACCGGCUAACUUCGUGCCAGCAGCCGCGGAAUUC
This 525-nucleotide ribosomal RNA is filed under the name uncultured bacterium. RNAcentral describes it as "bacterial SSU rRNA". It matches the Rfam family "Bacterial small subunit ribosomal RNA", at positions 9 to 525 of the family's 1533-position model. The record is from RNAcentral.